UACGAAGGUGGCAAGCGUUACUCGGAAUUACUAGGCGUAAAGGGCAGGUAGGUGGUUCGAUAAGUCUGUUGUGAAAGCUCCCGGCUCAACUGGGAGAGGCCAACAGAAACUAUCGGACUUGAGUAUGGGAGAGGUUACUGGAAUUCCCGGUGUAGCGGUGAAAUGCGCAGAGAUCGGGAGGAACACCAAUGGCGAAAGCAGGUAACUGGACCAUUACUGACACUCAACUGCGAAAGCUAGGGGAGCAAACAGG
RNAcentral lists this ribosomal RNA (253 nucleotides) under uncultured bacterium. Its description in RNAcentral is "partial 16S ribosomal RNA". It matches the Rfam family "Bacterial small subunit ribosomal RNA", at positions 524 to 776 of the family's 1533-position model. The record is from RNAcentral.